AGAAGAAGUAUUUGAAAAGUGUUAGCUAUAAAAAUACAAAUUGCCAAAAGAAAAUAAUUAUUCACGACAAUAUUCUUAUUAAGGAAGGAUGUGGGAUGAAACAGAUUACCUCAGGAUGUCUUUCAAACAGCUAAAAUCGCUAAACUGUUACUGAUGAUGGAAAAGGGAGUUGGUGCUGAAAAUAAGGGACGGACGUUGAACGAAAUCGAUAUGGAAUUGGAAAUGUGGAACAAUGUUGACAUGAAACAAGAGAUAACUCGCUCCAACUCCAUUGAAGAUUCUCUACAACAUAAUGAAACUGUUCAGGACCAAUGUGACGAAGAAGAGCAUCCAAAGGAUGUGCACUCAACUAGCACGAUUGCUGAAAAGUUUAUCGAAGAACCAGUGAAGAGAGAGAUCGCUCUGAAGAGAACAUCCACUAAACAAUCCACACGAGGUACAUGGACAGCAAAACAAAAAUCAAUUAUGAUAUCUUAUUUCAAAACCCACUUGAAAAAUAAAAUAGCACCAAAGAAAGCUGAGUGUAUCAAACUCAUAAAUGAGAAACCUGAUUUGUUUAUUGAUAAGAAAUGGGUUCAAAUAAAAGCUUUUAUCUAUAAUACAUAUCGUUUACCAUAACUUCAUUAUUACAGGAGCUGCCUCAUUUCAUCAUUUUUUUGCAUAGAACGAUAUUUUGUUUCUUUAUUUUUAUUAAAUACUUACUGAAUAUUUUGCUGUUUCAUUUACAUACAU
This is an unclassified non-coding RNA of Leptinotarsa decemlineata (Colorado potato beetle), 732 nucleotides long. Lineage: Eukaryota; Metazoa; Arthropoda; Insecta; Coleoptera; Chrysomelidae. The record is from RefSeq and is a predicted model, not a curated record.